RNAcentral lists this unclassified non-coding RNA (306 nucleotides) under Orius albidipennis. Its description in RNAcentral is "ITS1". The record is from RNAcentral. Lineage: Eukaryota; Metazoa; Arthropoda; Insecta; Hemiptera; Anthocoridae.
CAGAAAAACCGAAACGGAGCGUGGUGUGGCGUAAGACCCACACACAAAAACACGUUCGGAGAGAGAGAGGUGACGUAUAAUAUAACGGAGACGGUUUUCACGCCGUCCGAAAAAAAAAGGGGGAGAGCGAGAGGGACGCGGGAAGCCGUCGAUGGGCCUCGCGCGGAAGCCGCCGGAAACGGCGGUGGAGCGGACCUUUGGCACGCCCCUUCUCUCGAGCGCCCCCGCAAACAAACAAACAAAAAGUGACACGAUCGGGAGAAGCCUUCGCGAGGAGGCCUAUCCUUUUUUGAUUAUAAAAUGAUU